CAGCACCUCAAGUGGUCAGGAUGAUUAUUGGGCCUAAAGCAUCCGUAGCCGGCGCUGUAAGUUUUCGGUUAAAUCUGUACGCUCAACGUACAGGCUGCCGGGAAUACUGCAGAGCUAGGGAGUGGGAGAGGUAGACGGUACUCGGUAGGAAGGGGUAAAAUCCUUUGAUCUAUUGAUGACCACCUGUGGCGAAGGCGGUCUACCAGAACACGUCCGACGGUGAGGGAUGAAAGCUGGGGGAGCAAACCGGAUUAGAUACCCGUGUAGUCC
This 270-nucleotide ribosomal RNA is filed under the name uncultured archaeon. Its description in RNAcentral is "partial 16S ribosomal RNA". It matches the Rfam family "Archaeal small subunit ribosomal RNA", at positions 477 to 747 of the family's 1478-position model. The record is from RNAcentral.